RNAcentral lists this small RNA (77 nucleotides) under Xanthomonas phaseoli pv. manihotis. RNAcentral describes it as "sX9 sRNA". It matches the Rfam family "Xanthomonas sRNA sX9". RNAcentral also lists the same sequence under 4 other names. The record is from RNAcentral. Lineage: Bacteria; Pseudomonadati; Pseudomonadota; Gammaproteobacteria; Lysobacterales; Lysobacteraceae.
AUGCGCCACGCGUACGCCGCGGCUCUGAGCGCGUUGUCCACAUCCACCCGCCGCCUGCUCGCUACCUGUAGUUAGCC